CCAAUAGAAUAAUUAAAAUUUUCAUUGAUAUUAGGCAGAUAAGUACAAUGACAAAAAGAAUUUUUAAUUUCCUUCCUCAAUUAGCGGAGCUGUUGUGGCAGCAUCUUCUAGGUUUUCUUCUUCUUGACCAAUUCCUUUCGCGGGAACAGGGCUUGUUACCUUAGGUUUUGGAGGGGACAGAAGAGCUUACCUGACUCUCUUCAUUCCCUCUGAAAUUCUUCCCACUCCACGCUCAAAGGGUCGAGAACAUCAAAUUUAAAAUUUGAAUUUGUGAGUCAGGCAAUUGUAAUUUUUGCAACUCGCAAUAAAAGGGUCCACAGCAACUUGGGUUGUAACAUCAGAUUCGACCUUAAAUUAGGCAGAUAGCUCUUCAAGUUGGCGCUGGUUUCUACCUUGUAGUUGUCCAGAGCCUCAUAGCUUUCCCUUCGGAGUUGCUCAAAUUAGAGAGGCGUUGCUCCUCUAAAGAUUUCUCGUUAGCCUCCAAUUGACAUAUUUUCUCCUCCACCUACUUCAUUUCUGCCUCCUAGGUUUUGCCUUUAGUCUUUUAAGCAGAGGUAGAUGCUGCCAGCUCCCUAUUUUGGCGGACUGUGUUUUCAUAAAUGUGGCAAAAUUGGCCCAAGUGUUCCCUCAAGUGAGCCCACGAAAUUCUCAAACACAACCUACCUGCCUUUGUUUUUGGUGCAAGCUUCAGACAUGGCCCAACUUAGGAGUUCGCACUUCGCCACCAUCAAUUGGUAAGAACCCACAAACUCUUUCAAUUUAGGUUUUUGGAUAGUUAGUGAAGAAAUUAGAGGGUUUUGAAAGAACUUGAGUGGCAAGAAAAUUUAGGGAAAAACAAUUUCAGUAAGUGAUGAUUCUACUUCUCUACAUUUGGUUAUAAAGCCAAUCGCUCGCGGGAAGUUUCACGUUUAAAAGAAUUGUAAUAAAUGGUUCAAAACCUCUAGUUAAUGCUCGACAGUUGUUAGUUUCUAAUGAGGGUUUUCUUAGACUCUUGGUAUUCAAAAACGUGAGAAUAUCCACCAAUAUUGAUCAUUUAAACCAGUAUCCACCAAUUUGGUUUUGCCUAGUAUGUACCUACCAAUUAUUUUUACAGGGUAGCUGUAACGACCCGAUAGCCAGGGAUGAUGAAAAUUGAUGUUCGAAACUCCUUUCCCAUAAAAUGAACUCAUGAAUGUUUUUAUUAACUAUUUACGAAGUUAGACUAGUAGAGGAUUAAAUUUUGGAUAAGUAAUUUUCGUGAAAUUAGGAGUUGUUAAGAUGUAGGGACCAAAUUGCGUAGGUGUUAAAAGUUGAAUUAUAGGUUUAAAUUAAUUAAAGUGACUAAAAUAGUAAAUAUACAUUUACUUAGUGAUAGUGGAUGGCAUUAGUGAUGUAUGUUAUAUAUAUGUGUGUUAACUUAUAUAUAUACAAAUAUAUGUUAUAAUUAAUAAAUAGCAUAAAUUGUAUGUAUAUUAUAUAAUAAUAAAAAUGAAUAAAACUAAAGCUUAUUAAAAGAAAUAGAAAGAAAAAGAGAGAAUGUGUGCAUGCAAAUUAAAAGAAAAGAAAAGAAAGAAAGAAUAGAAGAGAGGCCGACUGCACCAAGGGUUUCAAACUUUCAAACUUCAAUUCGCCAGUCAAUUUAGUCCCUUUUUCAUGUAAAAUUUAUGUUUUUCUAAUCUCGGUACUUAGAGCUACUCGACCCAUGUUGCAAUUUUUAAUAUUGUUCAAGAUUGAGGAUGUUACCACUAUUAAUUAGUUAGAGCUUUAAGGAUUAAAUUGGUAGAUUUUUAAGUUAGAAUUGCAAAAUGACUAAAUAGUGAAGUUAAUUAUUGAUUUUGAGCAAUAGGGAAUAAAUUGAGAAAAAUUCAAAAUUAAUGGGUAGAAUUGGAAAAUAUUGAGCUAAAUUUACUUUAGAGUGAAAUUAGUAAAAAAAAUGUGAGGUUAAAUUAGAGGUGCUCAUGGGCCGGGCGGCCCGCCCGAAAUAUGGGAGGGUUUGGGUAAAAAUAUAGGCCCAAAAUAUGGGCUUGGGCAAAAAAAGAGGCCCGUUUAGAACACGGGUCGGGCCUCGGGCACCACUUUUUCGGCCCGGGCCCGGCCCGGCCCGAUAUAAUAAAUAUAUUUAUUUUUUAAAAUUUUAAAAUAUUUUUUACAUACUUUUUUAAUUUUUUUAAUUUUAAAAUAAUUUUAAAAUAAUUUUUUAAUUUUUUAAUUUUAAAAUAUUUUUAAAAUACUUUUUUAAUUUUUAAAAUUUUUAAAAUAAAAAUGGGCCGGGCCGGGCCCAGGCUUAUGAUUUUUUUCCCGGGCCGGGCCGAAAUUUUUUUAUGGGCCCGGCCCGGCCCAUGAGCACCUCUAGGUUAAAUAUAAAUAUUAAAAUUAGUCUUGGUUUAGGGACUAAAUUGAGGCUUAAGUAAAAUAUAGUAGAAAAAUUGAAAUUAUUGUGAAUUAAGUGGUAUAUUAAUUUAUUUUAAUUAUUUUAUUUCGUAGCAAACGUUGUUCUGAAUCCUCGAAUAAGAAAGGGAAAGACAAGG
Molecule: long non-coding RNA, 2507 nt
Filed under: Gossypium raimondii (Peruvian cotton)
Lineage: Eukaryota; Viridiplantae; Streptophyta; Magnoliopsida; Malvales; Malvaceae
Description: long non-coding RNA (GRAI_LNC010541)
Source: RNAcentral